Molecule: small RNA, 467 nt
Filed under: Malus domestica (apple)
Lineage: Eukaryota; Viridiplantae; Streptophyta; Magnoliopsida; Rosales; Rosaceae
Description: sRNA MD01G0051800
Source: RNAcentral
CAAAAACAGCUGCAGCUUUCCUUGCAUUGGAUCUCAGCUUCUCUCCUUCCUCUUCCACCAUUGCAUGCCUCAUGUUUUGGCUAUGUCAUCUCUACUAAACGACCCAUCUCCGCGUCGUUUCACUUCGACAGCCAUACCCUUCUCCUCCAAAAGCCUUGCAUUCAGAGGCUGAUCAAUAAUGAAUGGUAGCACAACAAGAACAUGCCCAAAUUGCAGAGUCUCAAUUAUUGAUCCCCAUCCAGAGUGAAACAGAGAACCCCCAACCGAUGGGUGUGCCAAGAUUUCCAUUUGGGGCACCCAUCCGAUGCAAACAAGCCCCUUCUCUGAUACACGGUCGACAAACCCUAGAGGCAGAGCAUCGGCUUCACUAUUCGCCCAAUUGGGUUUUCUGAGUGCCCAAAGAAAAGGGAGUUCUGAUAGCUCCAGCCCAUGAGCUAUCUCAAAGACUUGCUCUUUACUCAACUUAC